UAUUGUGUCAGAUUCCUGUUAUGUGGUU
Molecule: non-coding RNA, 28 nt
Filed under: Mus musculus (house mouse)
Lineage: Eukaryota; Metazoa; Chordata; Mammalia; Rodentia; Muridae
Source: RNAcentral